Molecule: non-coding RNA, 26 nt
Filed under: Mus musculus (house mouse)
Lineage: Eukaryota; Metazoa; Chordata; Mammalia; Rodentia; Muridae
Source: RNAcentral
UGUAGAAUUAAAACGCACGGAUGCCA